Molecule: long non-coding RNA, 479 nt
Filed under: Athene cunicularia (burrowing owl)
Lineage: Eukaryota; Metazoa; Chordata; Aves; Strigiformes; Strigidae
Description: lncRNA (ENSACUG00000000157.1)
Source: RNAcentral
CUUAAAGAAACCCAUCCUAAAUGGCCGCAACAUGGGUAAAUAAGCUAAGAGGUCAGUGCUCGCUUAAGAGACUGCACUCACUACUGGUCGAGAUGAAUACAGCUUGAUUUUAUCUAACCCAUCUACUGAAACUGCACAGGCUUCCUCCAUCCCUGGCACCACCCUUGCACUACUGCGAGGAACAUGACCCUGUUGAGCAGCCCCAUCCAUUCUUCCAAACAACAGGAGCAGCAGCACUGUAACUGCAAAUAAAACGAGAAAGGUCUUUUGGGGCAGGAUUUCUGAGGAGAUCCCAAACAAGAAGUACUGGACAAAGGCAAUUCUUCCCUCUUUGUACCUUAAGAGCUGCAAAUGAGUUUCCUGCAACAGGGAGCACUGAAGUUUCUUCAGAGAAACUUAAAGGUCCUGCCUUUUUCCCUGUAACAGCUAAACUCACACAGGCUGUGGCUCAUGACACCCAAUGCUUACUUCAUUUCUUU